Molecule: non-coding RNA, 116 nt
Organism: Brachypodium distachyon (stiff brome)
Lineage: Eukaryota; Viridiplantae; Streptophyta; Magnoliopsida; Poales; Poaceae
Source: Rfam
UUUGUACUCCCUCCGUCCAACAAAGGAUGUCUUAAGUUUGCCAAAAUUUGAAUGUAUACAUGACUUCAAAUUUAGUCAAAUUUGAGACAUUUUUUGUUGGACGGAGAGAAUAUAAC